CGCCGGAUAUUGGGGAUACACCAAUCCACUGGGUACUUCUGUGAAUUGAUAUUCUUAAAAGCACCUUAAAUAGCAUCCUAAGUGGCUCUCUCAGUUUUCCCAAGACAUGCUCGUGCCUUUGACGAUUUACUUCCAGUAGUAGGAUGAACGAGGAGACCUGCUCUUCCUACCCUUAGCCUUUAGCAGAGGCAGCCAAAUAGCCUUCCCUAGCCUCAUAAAGG
RNAcentral lists this long non-coding RNA (221 nucleotides) under Elaeis guineensis (African oil palm). RNAcentral describes it as "long non-coding RNA (EGUI_LNC011728)". The record is from RNAcentral. Lineage: Eukaryota; Viridiplantae; Streptophyta; Magnoliopsida; Arecales; Arecaceae.